UUGUUUUUUGCCAUUUUUUGCUACUGAUUUUUUUUUUUUAGUUUGAUCGGUUUCUCUAUUGCGUCCUUGUCAAUUUUUCCGGUGGGUGUUGGGUGUUAAUGGGUUUUGAUCGUCUUUGAUUCACUAGUUUCUGCGGUGGUAGGGGGUGGACGAUUGGUGCUGGUUCUUUUUAGUAGAAUCUCCCCUCCAUUGGGUUGGUUGGACUUCUGGGUUUGGAUUUAGUAAGCUUGAUUUUGGUUUUUGGCUGUUUAUUGAUUUUUUUACCUUGUUAGACUUAUUUGUUCUAUUGUCCUUUUGGAUUCCCACAACAAAUGAGAUUACAU
Molecule: long non-coding RNA, 323 nt
Filed under: Manihot esculenta (cassava)
Lineage: Eukaryota; Viridiplantae; Streptophyta; Magnoliopsida; Malpighiales; Euphorbiaceae
Description: long non-coding RNA (MESC_LNC001019)
Source: RNAcentral